RNAcentral lists this long non-coding RNA (810 nucleotides) under Homo sapiens (human). RNAcentral describes it as "HSALNT0153774". The record is from RNAcentral. Lineage: Eukaryota; Metazoa; Chordata; Mammalia; Primates; Hominidae.
GAGAAAACAGAAGCUGUGAGAGGCUGACUUUCCCAAGUCUGCGUGACUAGUAAGAAUCCAAGAUGGGAUUCAACCUCAGCUUCCUGGACUUCAGGCCAGAGCUCAAGCCUCAACAUUACGGCUGCCUCAGUGACUUGAAAGAAAACCGGGCAGGGCUUCUUCAAGGACAUAAGCUAGCAGCUCACAAUGGGGCCUGAUGGGACAUGUUGCAUCGAAACUAGAAGUUGGCAUUGAGAUCCAGCCUCACUGUGGCACUACAAAGCUGCCGCCACGUCAGCUGGAUGACACUGAAAUGGACGAGAACAAAAGGCUUUUUCCUGCAGUGUGUAAUGUCCCCUUACCAAGGCCCAGGAGCUAUUGUGAUGCACUGAGCGUAAAGCUUCCAGAGCAGUGAGUAGGUGAAAAGGAGAACUCUGGGCUGAGAAUGAGAUUUCAGGCAAAGGGAAGACAUCCUCCUUCCAUUGAGGUCAUAUCAAGAGCUUGGGUGAGGACCACAUAAGAAGAGACUACAAUCCCACUGGUCUGCAUAACCAAGGACAGAAGUCAGGUGGAGAGAAAAUGAGCCCUCAGCUUUCCUGUAAGCCUCUACUAAGUGGCUUCCUGUCUGCAUGAAACAGAAAGAAAUUCCAGAAUCAUGCAAGUGGGGUUGGGACAGGGUGGGUAGUGUAUGCUUAGGACUUGCCUUUUUUUUUUUUUUUUUUUUUGCCUCCAUUGCUCUUGUAUCUACAGAGCAACUACCUCCUUCUCUACUGACUUGUACGCACAGAGUCCUGAUACUGGAAAGACCCUCUCUUUGUGUGGAAAGAAAUG